AGGAAGCAUAGUGUAUUCUGGCUGUACCACACGACGUACACUAGCACACUCCCCAAGCAGUAACCAAGUCUCCAGUUUAGGACAGCGGGUGAAAGCUUCCCCUGAAGUCAGCAGCAACACAGAUGGUGAGAGUUGCAUCUGUCGUCAACACGAUGAUGGUGUUUUCGUGCACAAACAGUUGAGAUGAUCUACCUUGCAACUUCAGGGGUGGUAAUAUCAUCUCACCUGCAAAACAUAAUGAUUUGAGUCUUACAUGUUGAACCAAUGACUCCAGGUCUAAAGGCAACUGCAACUAUGUCAGCUUUACUGUCUUUACCUACAUACACAUACAGUAUGAACACUAAACACUAGCAUGUAAACAAUCUAUUAGCACUUUCGUUAAGUAAGGAAUGAAUAUAGGUCUCUAACUUCUUAACACAGAGGUUGCUAUACACCUAAAUGAUUAACAUUCAGUCCAAAAUCUCAAAAUCAUGACAUGGCAUCUGCUUAAUUCAAUUUAAGUUUGGAUGCCAUCCCCUUCAAAACAUGAAUCAGUAUGUAUUGCAGUGUUUAACAUCUUUUGAGAACAACAAGACUUUCAGAGCAUACUUCAGCAGUGCCAACAUAGUGGAACACUGUCAAUGCUCAAGGAGACAUUUGUUGGGAAUAAAUUUCAAGC
Long non-coding RNA from Portunus trituberculatus (swimming crab), 658 nucleotides. RefSeq lists it as uncharacterized. NCBI's taxonomy places the organism in Eukaryota, Metazoa, Arthropoda, Malacostraca, Decapoda, Portunidae. The transcript has 2 exons. The record is from RefSeq and is a predicted model, not a curated record.